This 484-nucleotide ribosomal RNA is filed under the name uncultured bacterium. Its description in RNAcentral is "partial 16S ribosomal RNA". It matches the Rfam family "Bacterial small subunit ribosomal RNA", at positions 30 to 507 of the family's 1533-position model. The record is from RNAcentral.
AUUGAACGCUGGCGGCAGGCCUAACACAUGCAAGUCGAGCGGAUGAAGGGAGCUUGCUCCUGGAUUCAGCGGCGGACGGGUGAGUAAUGCCUAGGAAUCUGCCUGGUAGUGGGGGAUAACGUCCGGAAACGGGCGCUAAUACCGCAUACGUCCUGAGGGAGAAAGUGGGGGAUCUUCGGACCUCACGCUAUCAGAUGAGCCUAGGUCGGAUUAGCUAGUUGGUGGGGUAAAGGCCUACCAAGGCGACGAUCCGUAACUGGUCUGAGCGGAUGAUCAGUCACACUGGAACUGAGACACGGUCCAGACUCCUACGGGAGGCAGCAGUGGGGAAUAUUGGACAAUGGGCGAAAGCCUGAUCCAGCCAUGCCGCGUGUGUGAAGAAGGUCUUCGGAUUGUAAAGCACUUUGAGUUGGGAGGAAGGGCAGUAAGUUAAUACCUUGCUGUUUUGACGUUACCAACAGAAUAAGCACCGGCUAACUUCGUG